AUGGGUAAUGUGUUUCCAGGUAUCUUGUAUUGUGAUUUAGCUUUUUUUUUUUUUUUUUCGGUUUUUUUUUUUUUGUUUUUUUUUUUUUUUUUUUUUUUUUUUUUUUUUUUUUUUUUUAUUUCUCUUCACAGUAUUUUCCCAUCAGAGCACCAUCCAGUAACAUCUCACCACAAAGAGGGGCAGAGCUGCCUCCUGCCUAGAAGCAGAAGCAUUCUGAUUUUCUCACCGUGUCUCAGCACUGGCUGUUUACAGCGUGUGCUACUUGCUUGCAGAGGGCUUGUGGGGCUGCGCUCCCAUGGAAGAAGACCCACAGAUGAAAGCAAAUCCUUUCUUAUGGCGUAAUGGCUGGUGGUGAUGAGAAGCCGUUCUCAGGUAGGAUGUGGUCAGCCUGGCUCUCUCUGAGGUCAGUAAAGAAGCAGGAAGUGUCACUUCUCUGAAGCAGUCACCUCUGAUAAUGGCUACUAGUGGUGGCUCUGGGGCCUUUCUUAGAAGAACCUCUGGAAAACUAGUAGUUGAUGGACUUUGUGUUGCAAAGUCUGCACUCCCCACAUCUCCCUGUCCAGGCUUGGCUUAGUAAAGACACACACACUGAAAAAGUCUCCUCUCAGACCUGUGCAUAUUGCAUAUUCAGCAUCAGUUUGGUGAACAAAAUUUCCCCAGUGUCAAGAGAAAUCUUAGCACAGAAUGAGUUUAGAGCUUCCUAAGCACCAUAAGAGAACCACAGUAGGUAGCCAAGGUGAGAAAUCUCAUCCUCACAUCUCUCUUACUCAUGCUGUGAAAGUGUUUAUGAUAAACUUGGUUAAAAUACUUUGUGAAAUAUUAACUAGUGGGGAUGCAGCUGCUCCUCCUAAUAGCUUUUGAAUGUGUGUGCCAAAUUCAGCAUUGACAGAGAGAUCAUGGUUUAGUGAUGAAUGUUGUGUGAAGAGGCAGCGUGCAGAAGAGACAGACUUUUAGGGCUCUCAUGGGCACUGAAGGGCUCCAGCUUUACUCCAGGUGCUGUUAAAAACUAGAUAAUUCAUGUAAAUGACAUAGUCAACAAAGACUCAAAGUGUGUGAAAGCUUCAUUUGGAGUUCGUGCUACAGGAACUGCCCUUCAGUCAGUGGCUCUCCUCAUGUGUGAGUUCUCUGAUGUCCAAUACAAGCAGCUUCAGUUUCGCUGAAGCCAGUCACUGGGCACCAGACCAAGAAAACCAGGCUGCACAGUUCUGGGACCUCUGAAAUUACUUGCCUUAUUCUGUGAUGGAUGAGAGUGUGGCAGUCUCUUCUUUCCCAUGAUUAUGUGCCUGAUCAUCUUGUCGCAUUGUGCAAAAGGUAAAACUCCCAUCAUUAUAUAAUGAAAAUGAAUCUCAGGACUUGAUCCUGUAAUUCUUUUUUGAACAUUGAAAUGAUAAUGAAGUCUUUCUCCCUAAUGUUUCAAUACCUCAACUUCAGAAACCCCUCAAAGUGAUUUCUAGCAGGUCACAUCCUAGCAGGAGGAGUUCCAGUCUAGUCUAGUACUAAUGGGUACAGUGCUUUUCAAGUGGAGUUACAGGGGUGGGUGUGUGCAUCAGUGUUUGGCUUCAGAUUUAAAAGUUUAGUAGCAUUUGGACCUAGAUUUUGGCUUGUCCCACUAGAUCCAUGGGAUCCAACAUGAAAUCUGGAGCAAGGCUUUCAAGUGCUCAGGAAGUGACACCUGGGAAUUUGAUGCUAGCUAGAUCUAAGAUGUGCCACUGGUCACAGAAAUGUGCCAGUAAAUGGCCUUUGUUGCUUUUUAGUGCAGGUAUUUCAAGGUCUAGUGGUCACUUUGCAGCAGGCAUGCACAUGGUCUAGAAGCAAGUUCUUUAUUAUAACCUCAUGAUUAUAAUAGACCAAUAGCCUAAAAUGUGUCUUCUAAUCCCAGGAGAAGCCCAACCUAAGUUAACUUUCUGCAGAACCUGACCAAAUGUCAUCAGCUGCUCCUGUGCUCUGUGUAAGCUGUGAUCUAUUUUGGAGCAGUCAGAUAACAUGUUUCUUGCUUUCAUUUUUAGUUCUCUCUGGCUUGCAGCUCAAUAUCAAGCCUCAUUUAAAAAUGCCAUUCUUUUUGUAUGCAUACCAGGGCUUAAUUUCAAUUUCCAGAGAAACCCGGCAGUUAAACUCCUUCUCAAAUAAACAAAGCAUAAGCAGACCCAAGAAAUACCUCUCAUGCCUCCACCCAACUAGCUGACUUCAUUUUCCAUGUCACAAGUUUAAGUAACUAAAAACUCCGCUGACUUUCACAGGUUUUGGACUGGAACCACUACAGAAAUAAAGAAGUCCAUACACAGAUUAAUGUCUUUUGAAAAAAAAUAUUUUUUUCCGUAGAUUGCACAUUCAAAACUUGAGCUGCACACUGCACAGUAUAGAAACAGCAGUUAGCCAAUCCAAUUACCACCAUGUAGAUGGGUUUUGAUUAGUUUGGCUGUAGCCCCAAGGUGUCAAACUCAUUUGGAAGCAUAGACCCGAGGUGUAAUUACAGUCAGUGGCCAAGGCGUCUCUCCUGGGCUGUAAAAACGUUCUCAGUCUGCCCUGGAAAUACCAUGUCAGAGGGCAGAAUGCAGUGGACUUUCAGGGAAAAAAUACUGUUUUACUGUUCCAGUUAGUGGCCGUGGCUGCUCAUUUGCUUAUCAAAUUAUGCAUUAAAUUUAAGUUAUGCCUUCUUUACAGUUCCCAUCUUUCCCCUUAGCUCUCUGCUGAAUGGAUCAAGCAGUGAACUUCAAGCACAAUGCGAUGAAGCAGGGAGCACAGGCCUUUGCAUCAGCACUGGCAGGCUUUCUCUGCAGCCCUGAAGGCUACAAACAAAAUGAAAUCUUGGCUACACAGAAGUUAGUGCAAGUUUUAUCCCAACUCCAAUGCUGCCAGGGAGAGGGAGAGAUUUUAUGCAGGAUGUAGUUGGACCACUGGGCAUCUCUUUUCCAGGUCUUCGGUGCUACAAGGGCAUAGGUGGAGCACUGCAGUACAAACAACACAUGAACACAACUGUAUUUUCAUGAAGGACCCUGUCUGGUGUUACCGUAGGACAGCAGGAUUGCUUCCACUGUUCAAACUGACUGUAGUUUUGAGGACGAGGGUGCAGUGACAGGCUCCUAGCUGGAAAGAGUAACGCUGCUGUCCUUCCCAGAGUUGUGCAUGUUUUUAAGUUUUGUUGUUAAUUGGUGCUUUUUGCCAACAGGCAUACUUUAAUAACAGCUCGAACAAACAAAUAAAUAAAUAAAACAGUAUCUUGUGCUUUGUUAGCGUCUUUCGUCCAGAGUCUUAGAAGCGUUUUGCCAAGCCAAGUGUUACUAUUUCCUGCGAGUCACAGCAGUCCCCAGAGCCUGACUCUGCUUCCUUUUAUAUCAAUAGGAGCAGGGCCAGCCCUCAAGGACUUGCCUGGUGUAACACAGUGAGCCGACGACAGACUGAGCAAACAUAACUCAGGUGCCCUAAUUCCUACUUUUCAUGCUGCCUGCCCUCAACAGCACCAGUUGCUCUGUGAUUCAAAGAGAGCAAGUUCCAUCAAAAUGAAAGAGAUCCCUACUUGCUUCAUUCCCAUUGCUGCUUUUAUGAUGUCUCCAUCCUUGCAGGGCACCAGGGUGUGCUUGGUUUACUGCUGUUGUUGCUGGUCAUUUAACACCUUCUUAAAGCCUUCUGAGAGGUAAGUGAUCUAUGCAUGCAGAACCGCAUGCCUGUGUCAUAUGUCAACCUUCUUCGGGUUUUCUCAUCCCCUGCGUUGUAUGUCAGAGACAUCUGCAAGUAAAUGAGAACCUGGCUCUUCGUGCUGCUUCUCCCCCUUGCCCUGGGUUUGAUACCGUCACUACAACAACCCAGCACGGUGUCAUGGAUGGUGGAGCACAGUGCUGGCGGUGCCCAGGGCCAGAAAAAAAGCAGCAGAAAGUGCCUGGUUUGGAUGUGUGCUUGUAACUGCAACCCAGCAGAGUGAAGGUGGAAAACUGGAACAGAACACUGACUUGAACGCUGUCCAUGGGGCGUAGGUAGGCUUUUCACAUUUCCAGUGCAUUAAUGUCAGAAGGACUCCUUUCCCUAUAAAUGGGAUUGAGUUACAGUUGUAAAAAUACCAUGAUCCUCAUCUAAGAGGAUUCGUAAUGUACACUAUUUUGUGCAUUGACUCCUUCUUGUGCCCUAAAAUAAGCAUAUAACUGUUAGCACCAGUGGACAGAUAAAAGCUGCUCUGCCCAGUAGACAAUGAUAAGAGCUGGGUGAACAUUUUAAGCCACUCGUGCAACCCUUAGGCUGGAAGAGACCUCUGGAGCACACCUUGUCCAGCCUCCUGCUCAAAGCAGACUGAACUGGAUAAGGCUGCUCAGGGUCUCGCUGAGUUUUGAGAAUUUUGAGUUUUUUUCUCCAAUUAUGGAGAUUCCUCAGCCCCUCUAUGCAAUCUGUCCACAGAUUUCCAUUUUACAAUGAUCUGCAAGGCCAGCUUCCACAGAUUUGUUAAUUUUUAUAUCUUAAUGAACAAAUGGGUUGUGCAUGUCAGAUUGUUGAUUGCCUACAAACUUCCUCCUCGAAAGAGGAACUUCUACAGACCUUUAAAAGAGAUGCUUGGAAAUGAGGGGUGAGGAUACUGGGGAGGGGCCACAGUUGCACACAGCAGAAGUGCAACUGUGGUGUUUGUAAACACCUUUAACAGUUUCUGCCCAGCUCUGAUCACAAUGUCUACUCACAAGGUGUUAUGAAGUCUUGACCCAUGCUUUCUUCCCCCCAUGUCUGAUAUCAGCAGCAGGUGAGGCAUGUCCAGGGACACAUGGACCUCUCCAAUACAGCCGUCCGUGCCUUCAUGGCUGUGCAGUGGCUUUGAAAAUGCAAUCCCGUACCUUGAAUCAGCUGAAUAUCACUUGAACCAGAAUCAGCUGGGCUGGUUUUGGUUCUUUGUCAGUAGGCUCUAAUGGUAGCCCAUACGUAGUCUCUAUUGUCUGUUUUUGCAACUAAAAAUAGUGCAGCUGUUGUCAGCUCCAGUUAAGACAAUCAGUAACUCACAGGUUUCACACAAACUUCUUCUGCAGCCCUCUGGGAAAACGUGUGCUUGUGGGGUGGAGGAUGCAAAAGCUCUUUUCCCCCUCUGUACAGAUGAUGGAGGCUGGUCCUUAAAACAUGCCCAGAACAAAAACAUGUUUAAAAAAGUAUGUGAAAUAGCUGCCACAUUUUUGUGCGGUACCCUGCUCCUCCUAAAUAACAAAUUAUUGUUUUGUUUUUUUUGAAGUGUUAAUGCAGAGGAGCUUUCUGAUGCAUUAUGAUGGACAAUUGGUAACAUAUCUCUA
This 5252-nucleotide long non-coding RNA is filed under the name Anas zonorhyncha (Eastern spot-billed duck). RNAcentral describes it as "lncRNA (ENSAZOG00000005408.1)". Lineage: Eukaryota; Metazoa; Chordata; Aves; Anseriformes; Anatidae. The record is from RNAcentral.